Molecule: ribosomal RNA, 253 nt
Filed under: uncultured bacterium
Lineage: Bacteria
Description: partial 16S ribosomal RNA
Rfam family: Bacterial small subunit ribosomal RNA
Source: RNAcentral
UACGUAGGCAGCGAGCGUUGUUCGGAGUUACUGGGCGUAAAGGGUGUGUAGGCGGUGCUCCCAGUCUGUUGUGAAAUCUCCCGGCUUAACUGGGAGGGUGCAGCGGAAACUAGAGUGCUAGAGGGUGGGAGAGGUAAGCGGAAUUCCUGGUGUAGCGGUGAAAUGCGCAGAUAUCAGGAGGAACACCGGUGGCGAAGGCGGUUCUCUGGGCAUGUUCUGACGCUGAGGAGCGAAAGUGUGGGGAGCGAACAGG